This 301-nucleotide ribosomal RNA is filed under the name uncultured bacterium. RNAcentral describes it as "partial 16S ribosomal RNA". It matches the Rfam family "Bacterial small subunit ribosomal RNA", at positions 509 to 807 of the family's 1533-position model. The record is from RNAcentral.
CAGUCGCCACGGUAAUACGGAGGAUCCAAGCGUUAUCCGGAAUCAUUGGGUUUAAAGGGUCCGUAGGCGGUCUUGUAAGUCAGUGGUGAAAGCCCAUCGCUCAACGGUGGAACGGCCAUUGAUACUGCAGGACUUGAAUUAUUGGGAAGUAACUAGAAUAUGUAGUGUAGCGGUGAAAUGCUUAGAGAUUACAUGGAAUACCAAUUGCGAAGGCAGGUUACUACCAAUUGAUUGACGCUGAUGGACGAAAGCGUGGGUAGCGAACAGGAUUAGAUACCCCCGUAGUCCCUGUCUCUUAUAC